RNAcentral lists this ribosomal RNA (253 nucleotides) under uncultured bacterium. RNAcentral describes it as "partial 16S ribosomal RNA". It matches the Rfam family "Bacterial small subunit ribosomal RNA", at positions 524 to 776 of the family's 1533-position model. The record is from RNAcentral.
UACAGAGGGUGCGAGCGUUGUCCGGAAUCACUGGGCGUAAAGGGCGCGUAGGCGGCUUUUCAAGCGUGCGGUGAAAGCUCGGGGCUUAACUCCGAGUCUGCCGUGCGAACUGGGAGGCUUGAGUCUGGUAGAGGUCGAUGGAAUUCCGGGUGUAGCGGUGGAAUGCGUAGAGAUCCGGAAGAACACCAGUGGCGAAGGCGGAACUCUGGGCCGGAACUGACGCUGAGGAGCGAAAGCGUGGGGAGCGAACAGG